This 477-nucleotide ribosomal RNA is filed under the name uncultured organism. RNAcentral describes it as "partial 16S ribosomal RNA". It matches the Rfam family "Bacterial small subunit ribosomal RNA", at positions 333 to 801 of the family's 1533-position model. The record is from RNAcentral.
ACACUCCUACGGGAGGCAGCAGUGGGGAAUUUUGGACAAUGGGCGAAAGCCUGAUCCAGCAAUGCCGCGUGAGUGAAGAAGGCCUUCGGGUUGUAAAGCUCUUUUGUCAGGGAAGAAACGGUGAGAGCUAAUAUCUCUUGCUAAUGACGGUACCUGAAGAAUAAGCACCGGCUAACUACGUGCCAGCAGCCGCGGUAAUACGUAGGGUGCAAGCGUUAAUCGGAAUUACUGGGCGUAAAGCGUGCGCAGGCGGUUUUGUAAGUCUGAUGUGAAAUCCCCGGGCUCAACCUGGGAAUUGCAUUGGAGACUGCAAGGCUAGAAUCUGGCAGAGGGGGGUAGAAUUCCACGUGUAGCAGUGAAAUGCGUAGAUAUGUGGAGGAACACCGAUGGCGAAGGCAGCCCCCUGGGUCAAGAUUGACGCUCAUGCACGAAAGCGUGGGGAGCAAACAGGAUUAGAAACCCGAGUAGUCCCAUGAU